GACGAACGCUGGCGGCGUGCCUAAUACAUGCAAGUAGAACGCACAGUUUAUACCGUAGCUUGCUACACCAUAGACUGUGAGUUGCGAACGGGUGAGUAACGCGUAGGUAACCUGCCUGGUAGCGGGGGAUAACUAUUGGAAACGAUAGCUAAUACCGCAUAAUAUUGAUUAUUGCAUGAUAAUUGAUUGAAAGAUGCUAUUGCAUCACUACCAGAUGGACCUGCGUUGUAUUAGCUAGUAGGUGAGGUAACGGCUCACCUAGGCGACGAUACAUAGCCGACCUGAGAGGGUGAUCGGCCACACUGGGACUGAGACACGGCCCAGACUCCUACGGGAGGCAGCAGUAGGGAAGCUUCGGCAAUGGACGAAAGUCUGACCGAGCAACGCCGCGUGAGUGAAGAAGGUUUUCGGAUCGUAAAGCUCUGUUGUAAGAGAAGAACGGGUGUGAGAGUGGAAAGUUCACACUGUGACGGUAUCUUACCAGAAAGGGACGGCUAACUACGCG
This 505-nucleotide ribosomal RNA is filed under the name uncultured bacterium. RNAcentral describes it as "partial 16S ribosomal RNA". It matches the Rfam family "Bacterial small subunit ribosomal RNA", at positions 28 to 507 of the family's 1533-position model. The record is from RNAcentral.